UAAAGAGGUGAGAGGGCUGGAGAUCCAGAAGGGAAGUGGGGGAUAGUGCAGGGCUGUUAAAAAGACAACAGGGGUUUACACCCAUCACACAGGAGCAACGACCCAGGAAUGUGCCGUGUUUGCUGUUGGUGUUAAAGGGUACCCUGGAUAUCCGUCCUGGGACUGCGACCCUGCUCACGACCUGAAGCUCGGGUUUCAUUGUGUGAUCUGAAAAAGAAGACGAAGAGGGAGGAGGAGGGGAAAGAGUCUGCCAUCCUUGAGGGAAAGGUCAAAAGUCAAACUGGAACAACCUGCUGGACCCUCACCAGUCUGGCUUCAGACCUGGCCACUCAACGGAGACCACACCCCUCUCCGUUAGUGAAUCACUUCAUGCCGCACGAGCAGCCACCUUUUCCUCUGUCCUGAUUCUUCUAGACCUCUCUGCUGCAUUUGACACUAUGGAACAUCCUCUUGUCCUCCCUGUCAGCAACAGGGAUCUGUAGCACAGCCCUGAACUGGAUCAAGUCCUACAUCUCUGGUCGCUCCUUCCAGGUUUCCUGGGCUGGUACAGUAUUGACACCUCAGCCCCUUGCCACAGGAGUUCCCCAGGUUCAUGAUAGCAGGCAGUGUUCAUUCUAUAAUGUUGUCAACUUAUGAGGGUAAAAGGCCAGGGGCUUGGACCCUAACUGUGCAUGUGCCUGCAAAUCAUAGCUGACCGUCUGCACUGUAACAUCAUAUUCAUUGUUUAAUUUCAAACGCAGGGGUACAGAGGCAAAAAGCACUGUGCCCUAAAUUAAAAGUGCACCCCCUCCCCCAAUCAGAGCAGUCCUAGUACUACUAAAGCGAAUAUCCAGUAUAAUUAAUGCAGGUGCUAUAAGAACAACAUCAGCGGGCUUAACCGUUUAAAAUUAGACAGCACCAGUGCCGAUCUGAACAAGGUGAUGGUUCCUGUACAAUGUUGCACUUGCACCGAAACAUCCUGAAUACAUUGCACAGUGAAUUAAAGAGUGUUCGUAAAAACAGUUAAUUUGACUAAUUAGUUAAUAAUAAUAAAAUUACAGGGCAUACGAUUAUUAUUUGUGUUCAUUGUAUGCAGCAUUUUUAUAAAGGUUGCCUAUAAUUCUGGAGCUGACUGUAUGCUUUAUAGAAAAAACACAUUGUUUUGUAAAUGUUUUACUGUUGUCAUUUCUGAGGCUGUUCUGUAAAUAGUUGGUUUGCUGGGUUGUUGCUCAACUGUGCCCGUUCUAGCCUAUAACUUUCACACCAUGACUUUCAUAUGGAUUGACUUCUUUUUUUUACCAUGUUUUUGCCGUUCUGCUGACUUUCCACUGAAUUUGCAUUGUACCUUUCUGCAAUAUUAAACUUCCCGACAAUUGCAAAAAAUUCAACUGAUUCUAAUUUUGAAUAGCAAUGCCCCUGGUUGGACUAUGGAAAUGACUGUUGAUUCUGAAAGGACUGAUCCAGAGAGGAAGAGCGAGAUGCCGCACUCUGGGUCUGAAACGUUUGCACUGGUACUGGUACUACAUAUUUUGGUGCUCACAGAAUAAAUGGAGGUCAAUGAGGUUUUUCCAAAACAGUUCGCUAAAUGGGUAAUUUCUAGAAAGACUAAAUAAAAAAGUAU
Conger conger (European conger) is the source of this 1600-nucleotide long non-coding RNA. RefSeq lists it as uncharacterized. The record is from RefSeq and is a predicted model, not a curated record. The transcript is spliced from 3 exons. NCBI's taxonomy places the organism in Eukaryota, Metazoa, Chordata, Actinopteri, Anguilliformes, Congridae.